RNAcentral lists this ribosomal RNA (253 nucleotides) under uncultured bacterium. RNAcentral's name for it is "partial 16S ribosomal RNA". It matches the Rfam family "Bacterial small subunit ribosomal RNA", at positions 524 to 776 of the family's 1533-position model. The record is from RNAcentral.
UACGUAGGGUGCAAGCGUUAAUCGGAAUUACUGGGCGUAAAGCGUGCGCAGGCGGCGAUGUAAGACAGAUGUGAAAUCCCCGGGCUCAACCUGGGAACUGCAUUUGUGACUGCAUCGCUAGAGUACGGCAGAGGGGGAUGGAAUUCCGCGUGUAGCAGUGAAAUGCGUAGAUAUGCGGAGGAACACCGAUGGCGAAGGCAAUCCCCUGGGCCUGUACUGACGCUCAUGCACGAAAGCGUGGGGAGCAAACAGG